Molecule: non-coding RNA, 1567 nt
Organism: Salvelinus sp. IW2-2015
Lineage: Eukaryota; Metazoa; Chordata; Actinopteri; Salmoniformes; Salmonidae
Source: RefSeq, a predicted model, not a curated record
GAGGAAUUGAAAUCCUUAAAUGUCAAAGUUGAAAAGGCCAAGACACUGAGAAUCUGCAGAAGAAACUUGAAGAAAGUUGUGGAGAUCUGCAGGCUGAGCUCUCAAAGAAAAGAUAAACAAAUGAAAGCAGUGAGUCAAAGCUGUCCAACCUGAAGAUAAAAUUAGAGAGUAAAACUAAAGUCCAGGACGAAUACAAAAAGAGAACAAAACGUUGAAGAAACAAAUUGCAGUUGAGACAGCAAAAUCCAGUGAACUUGAAAAUGAGAUAAACAAAUUGAAAGAGGAGUCAGAAAAUGUUCAACGAUCAAAUGAAGAGGAAUGUAAAAAUUUGCUUGAUGACCUUGAAACCAAAUCAACAUCUGAGACAGAGCUUCAGAAAAAGGUGCUUAUUGGAAGUUAAUAAUAUGGUACAUUCUGGUAGAUGUGGCAACAUACUUGCUGCACAUGUUGAUCCCUGCAGGUGCAAAAGCUACAUCUUACAGCAACAYAUGCCGUCAAGAGUAAGGAAGAUACUGAAAUCAAAUGUCAGAACAAGAUAGCAGACAUGGUUGCCUUGAUGGAAAAGCACAAGAACCAGUAUGACAAAAUGGUUGACGAGAAAGAUGCAGAGCUUGAUGAGAAGAAGAGGAAAGACAUGGAGGCAACUGCUAAUAGAACAUCACUGGAAUUGGCGCUGUCACAGCAGAACAUUGAGAAUGACCGUUUGAAGGAACAACUAAAGAAAGAAAUGAACGAGAGGGAAAGCUUACUACAAGAGAUUACAGACCUGAAAAAAGAAAAGAAAAUGAGCAGGCAACUGAAGACACAGGAUGAACAGCUGCCUGAGCCAAAGUCCAAAGAAGUUAAGUGUUCUGAAAUCCCCAAAGUAUACUCCUCCGCCAAGAUGCCUAUGUUCCGUUUGGCAAAGGACAGUCAGAGAAAGACAAAAAAAGCCUCUGUAACCCCAUCCCAAACCUCAGAGAAAAUAGUUGUUGUGACUCCAAACAUUAAUGAAAUGGAAAACGAAGCCCAAAAACUCCAUCUUGGAGCCUCAUGACUAGAGUUGCAGCAACACCACGAAUGAAGGAAACCGAAGCUCUCAGAACUCCAUCUUGGAGCUCCACCAAUAUAGUUAGUGCAACACCACGGAUUAAGUCUUACAGAAUCAGAACUCCUCCGUCCACUGGGAAAUCUGUGCCCUGGGGGAAGAGCACCUUGGAGCUUGACCCCAAGUCCGACAGCUCGGAACAUAAUGAUUUAUUGAGCAUUGCCGUUGCAACUGAUCCAUUCAAGAGCCGCCUGCAGCCAAGUGUCCCAGCAGCACAGAAUCAAAAAGUGGACAUAUUCAGGAAGGUAGAAUGAGCAGCCUUACAUUAACACCAAAAUACUUGACUUACUUGGCAGUACACGCUCUGUAUUAUGAAAUAAGUUGUGAAAUACCAUAUUGCAUUGUAUGGUAUAGUCUAUACUCUGCAACUUCUAAAAUAUAGUCUGUAACUUAAAAGUAGUUAAUGCUGUAAUGUCCAGGUCAGUAUUAGUCUGUAAUGUUUCAGAUCCAGAGCCCUGCCAUUCAGAAAUCACCUGGGAG